UGUAACAAGCGACUGCAUAUUCUGUUCUGCAUUGACGGCGGGUGUAUUCUUUUGUAAGCGCGGUAAAUAUGUUCUAACAUCCAUUUUGUUAUAAGUUGUUUGCUGGCGUAAAUACAUUAUGGUUGUAUUUUAGAUGUGUAAGAAGGCACAAAUAUCUUACAGUUUUGACGAAAAGCUAUAGAUCUGUUGGAACACAUUAUUACGGGACAUGAGCAAUACUUCAUCGUGUUUAACUCUUGAAGCAUUCUACACAUGUUGAACUGCUGGCAUUUCGUUGUCAGCGAGUCCCGUUUGCCAAUAAUUCCUACUGUGCACUUGCUAAAUGGGAACAGGACCUUCUCUCGUGUUUUUAAAAAAUAAGUUUAUUUUGGCUUGCUUGGUACAUUUGUAAAAUUCCUGAGGAGCCUGGGAUUUGAGACAGAGCAUAUAAAAAAAAUUACCCUUUACCGCCUUGGCCGGGAAUUGCUGUCAAAGUGAGCCUUGCACCUCUGAAUUCCUCAAAAGACGGCGGAUACAGCGAAGGGAAAUAACGUUAGCGUUCGCGCAUCGCUCUUAUAAAAAUGAGUUGGCCAGGCCAGGUUGGCAGCUAACUUGACUCUGUCAGUCAUCCUUUGAGGCUCUUCCGUCUUCUCAGCAGAGCGGGCAAGCAGUUGAAUAGCUCGUAAAAACACAUCUGAAACAAAUUAGGUUUCCAUUAUAUUCACCAAGAGCUGGCUGAUAAAUAGGCGUCUGUAUUUACAGCAAAACUAAUUGCCUGCAUACACAGACGUAUCACCGCAUGCUAUUCUACACAACCUGAUAUCAACAGCAUUUCUGACUUCCACAUAAAAGAUGCAGGAUCUUCUGUUUUGACAGUGCUGUAACAAGUAGACGUCUCUUCAGCUGGAUUUCAGCACAACUAUGAGCAACACGGGGGAAGCCCUGUGGACAUUAAUUUACCUCAAUAUCCACGUUCGCCCUAUGGGGAAACAGCAGGCACUUCACUAAAGAGGCAAGCAUCACACAUACCAUCUUCACCCGUUUCUUGUUACUUCGGGCCUAGUAUCUCCAUUCUUACUAAGGGAAUUGAUAUUUCUCUGCUACUUUGACCAAGUAUCUCCUCUUCGCAGGCCGAGUGUGGUGCGACUCUCUUCCCACACACAGACCCACACACACUUGAAAUCAGGACAACUGUGGCUCUUUACAUCUGAAAAUAAUUUUACGCCCCUUAGACCUCCCGCCCGCCACCUAGUGAUGAGAAAAGAGCCGAGUUCCAGCAUUUAUUCAUAUAUAAUUCAAUACCAAUGAUGGGAUGCCUACGAAAUACCUGCCAGGAUCUGACGGAUUUGCCAGGCGAAUGUGUGAACGUGAUCUAUAUAAUAACAACUGGAUCGUGUAUCCCAUUGCUUGUCCAAUAACCGCCUCCUUCGCUAUGUCAGGUCGCAUUAAUUUUUUCGGAUGUUCAACCACUUGAGAUCCGAUCUCACUGCUCCUCCAACACGCUAAAGACGGCAUUGCAUGUUAAAAUGCACAAAAAGACAUAAGGAAUGUGAUUGUGUUUUGCCUGUGAAUAAUUUUACUGUACUAAUUUCAUUAACACUUUGCACUGUAUUUUCCUGGAUAUAUGUGACGACAAAUCAUUCACCCAUUCAUUCAAUUAACUUGUUAUGGAUUUUCUGGCUGUCUUUAAUAUAAAGAUAAAAUGAAGCGUAAUUUUUCCGUUAUCAUCUACGAUUAUACAAUAUGUGUAUUUGAUGAGAUGUUGCAAUAUUACGGUAAAACAUCUCCAGAUUCGCUAGCAUUGUCAAAUGGUCUUUAGGAAUCCUGUAUGUAGUGCAAUUGUUCCUUUCCAUCUUCAUGUUUUGAGUCAAAUUCGCAUGAAAAAAAUUAACUGACAUUUCCAACAAUCGACAGCACUCUUACUCAUAAUACCAA
Long non-coding RNA from Stegostoma tigrinum, 1914 nucleotides. RefSeq lists it as uncharacterized. The record is from RefSeq and is a predicted model, not a curated record. The transcript is spliced from 3 exons. Lineage: Eukaryota; Metazoa; Chordata; Chondrichthyes; Orectolobiformes; Stegostomatidae.